AAAGAAAGGGCAAUAGGUAAAUAAUGGAAUUACGCCUUAUUAACCAAAUAUUUAAAAUAUAACAUUCUUAACAAAAUAAUGUAACACCAUACUCUAACAUGUCAUUUAUGUUUUAGGUUAUGUCGACCGUAUACAAACUAUGAAAUAUCACAAUUUUGUUGAACACUCUUUUACAUCAAUUACUCAAAUACAUCUAAUAAGCAUUUUGAAAGUAGUGGAAAAAUAAAAAAGACGUAUAUCAAACAAAGCUCAACAAGAAAUAUAUUGAAAUCAGAAAAUCUAAACUUUUAUUAUUGGAAAGUAAAACGAAAACUUGCGAGUUGUGAGAAAGGAUGAAGAGUAACUUGGGGAGAGGGGGAGGGACAAUUCAGUGCCUCUGGUGGAUAUUAUUACUACUAAAAACGUAUUUACAAAUAUUCUAUUUGAUGGUCUAGAUUGGUUCUAACUACGGUCAUGCAGGAUGUAGGUCAUGUGGGGUCAUGUUUUCUGAAAUUGUUCGUAUGUUCAUGAUUGAAAAAGAACAAUAAAUUUGUCAGAGGUAGAAGAAUCUAUUUUAUCAUUAGUCACAUGAUGUAAUAGUAUGAUACACUUAAAAGAACGCUAAAAAAGGAAAUUAAAUACUAUUCUAGUUUCGUUUUUUGCAGAAUGUUAUUGUGUUAUGUAACUGAUAACAAGUUUAUUGUUAGGCUAGAGGUAGUAAAAAGUUUAGAUCUUAUAAAUGUAUCAAAUUACUAGAUUAACUACAGUAUAUGAAUAUUUAUUGUAUUGAUAUUGUUUAAUAAUAGCAAAUUCUUACUAAUAAUGAAUCUCGAAGGGCUUAAAGGGGAAAGGUUAACAAAAAAAAACAUAAGAAGAUACAAGAUUUUAAGGUUUAGAGAAUCUGAUCUCUAGAAAUUAUAAAAAUGAAUUCAUAGGAUUUGUAUGAUUGUUUAAAAUUUGUUAACAGAGAAAGAAUCACUUGAUGCAGCUGAAAUUGAAUAAACAGGUUUAUUUCUGUUUAAUAUGUAGGACUCAAAUAUUUUAGCCUCUUCUCGUUUGUAUUUGUUAGUGGUGUUUAUUAAUAUUCUUUGUUUUAAAAUUAUCAAUGUCAAUGUUUUGCAAUUUUCUUAUUCAUUUGACCAUGUAAAUUAUUUUUAUAAUUUUUUCAAAAGUUAUUAUACAUAUAUGCAUAAAAUGAUGGACAACAUCCACUAAAUGAGAAAUAAUCAAAGAAUUAAAUAAGCUAACAAAUAAAGUAGAAAUAGAACAACAUCUAACUGACAAUGAGCUUUGAUAUUGUAACAUAUUUCAAAUAACCCGCGCACAUUAUAACCUUCCGGCUACGUAUUAUAAACGGACUCAUCCGAUAAUCUCUCUUCGUUCUUUAUAUUCUUCCGUCUUUCUUAAACUUGGAUUAACUUAUGCCUUUCGUGUUACGGGAAAAAUACGUUCUGCUCCAAGUUCCUGACAGACAAAGUCAACCCACACGACUAGACGGACUUAUAGUUAGUCGCUUAAUGUGUGGAAUGUGACGGGUUUGAACUAAUGCGCUGUUACGUGUACCGAUUAUUCAGUGGUGAGAAACUAGUGUAUCUAGAUCAUUUUAACGCGAGUGCAGCGCACUUAAGGAAAAAUUGAAAAGACAGAAAGUGCACUCACGUGGCCAUCCAUUAUCUCCAAUUUUUAUUCUGCCAAGUUUUCAACGAGGAAAUAACAACGAAUUCAUUAUUAAAAUUUGAUUUAAUCGGAAACACUGAUUCAGGUGUACAUACAAUCAUGGAUAUGUCAUUUUUGGUUGGCCAAUAGAUAAAAAUGGAAAGAGAGAUAUUGCGGAAACAGUAUAAAGCGCAACGAUAUUUCAAGUGUAAAGUCGCAACAAAAAUUUAUAGGAAAACAUUUAUUUUUCUCAAUUAAAUUUGAAGUAAAAUCGUUUCUGUGUCACUGAUAGUUACAGAAUUAAAUAUGUUAAUUGUAACAUACAUCAAUAAUUAUUUCAAUUACGAAUUCUUUUAAUAAAGAGAGGAAAAAAUAACAGAUUGAUACAAGUUUUCUGUAAAAUUUAUGUAGUUUAUUUAUUUUAUAUGUAAAACACGACAUGGUUCGCAAUAAAAAUAUUAAAAAUUUUUAAUGUUCUUAACUGUAAUAAUCUGUUACGUUACAUUACCAUCCAAAUAUUCGUGAUAUUCUCUGACUGAUGGCUUUAAUUGUCAUGCAAAAUGUUUGAAUAAAAGUCGCUUGUGAGUAUGUAAUAUUCAUUAUUUUUUGGAAUUAGUCAUUACCUAUAAAAAAAAAUAAUUUCGAAGUUUACGAGCAUUACAUUGUACAUCGAGCCUAAAAAGGUUAACCUAAAAUUUUUAACCUAUAUAUGUAUAUGUGACGCGUCCCAGAAACCGUUAUAUAUAACAGUGUGCCGUCAAUAUUUGUAUGAAUUUGAAUUCCCACUAGGAAUCCAAGUACCACUAUAGUAUAUAUGUAUACAUAUGCAUUGAUACCUCUUUUAUAAAUUAAUAAAUUUAUGCAUUCAAGAAAAAAUUUACUUAUUACAAUCAGGCAUACAGUAAUGGUACAAAAAAUCUGCAAAGGUGGCGUAACUCCAUAAGAGAUAUUAAGCAAUAAAGAUAAUAAAUCAGUUGCUGGUUCCUCAAGGUAUUGCUAUUCUUCCAAAUGAAUUGAUGGGAAUCAUUUGACAAUUGCACAACAACUUUGCAAUUGCAAUACAACUAACACAAUUGAAGUUCAAAUGUAACUUCAAAUAUAUUCUUAAUGUAGAAGAAUCACUAAAACUUCAUCACUACAUAUAGAUUUCAUGUUCUUCUUGCAGACUCUACAUUGUAAAUAUUAUAAUGACAAAACCUUGAAAUUGAUUAAAGGUAUACCAUUGUUUUGAGAAUUUUAUGAUUUCUUGCCUGAUGUACAUGACAAAUGAUGUAAUAUCUUGUUUCAAGGUAAAUUACUUACCUCAAUUUCCUUUUUCAGAGAAUAGAAAUACAUUGAGUAAUAUCACAACUUCCUUUAUUGGAAGAUGAGACAUUAUUGAGAUUUCUUUUACCUUUUUUUACGACAAAACACAAUUUCAAAGAUAUCGAAAUGAUGACAUAAACUCUCCCUAUCGUGCAGACAUAAAAUUAUGUUAGCAGUCGUGUAUUACCACAUUGCAGUAUAAAAUUACAAGGAAGUGCUUGAGAAACCUAUAUCUAUGUACAAGUAAUUAUAGACUUCGCUCAUGUAUGAUAUUUUUCUUAACCAUGAGAAUAUUCUGUUCUAAUUGGUAUUCUGAAAAGGUAAAUAACUAAAAGUAAAUGAUACAUUUAAUAUUUUACUCACUUUUAGAAAAAGAUAUAACCAGGUAUUGUUAAAUAAAAUUUCAAAUUUGUACAAAAAUUCCAGACAGGCUUAAUGUAUUAAUUAUUUCUAACGUAUGUCACACAGAUUGCAGACAAGCAUACAUUGUGUAACUAAUACAAUAUGUUGGAUGCAUUAUAAUUACAAUACAUGCGAUAUUACGGUGUGAACUUUGAGACUUCAAGACUGUUGUUAAUACAACCUGAUUGCUCUUAAUAUUAUGCAUUUAUUAAACAUGUAUGAGUGUCGGUAAUAAUUAAAACUGAGACUGUUUAGACGUUUUAUAUUAGUUUUAACAUUCUACACAUUUCGGAAUUUGAUGCUCGGUUUUUUUAAGAAUAAAAACCAAAAACAUUACGUAGGAAAAAUCAUGAUUAUCAUAUGUAUAAUGAAAUUAAAUAAUUACAAUUAUAAAAAAUUGUUUAAAUCGACACGAUCUAAUCUAAAUAGAUAGAAUUAUCAUUUUAAAUUUAAAUUCAAAUAUUACAUGCAAUUUAUAACGGGCACUAAUAUAAUAAGAUAACAACUCUAACGGGCAAAAAGUGAUGAUGAUCGUAAUUUACAUUCCUAAACAAUUUGUCACUUUCAUAUAUUUACACGGAUAUAUACUAUAAAGUUUGGGAAACUUGCGAAAUAUCAAAAUAAGAUUUUUAAAAGAACCGUCAAUUCGAAGGCGUAUUCGUAGGCGUAUCUCGUACAAUUAUCUUAAAAUUAUUUGCGCCAUUAAAUGUACAGUGUCUUUGAUUUUGUAACGUAGAUGUUCUGUCACUGUUAAGGAGUUGGGUAAAGUCCAAUACUUAUUCGUUACACGCUCACGAUUCAAGACCACUGCGCUAUACUUAGCGUAUAGAGGACGCGAUUCUAAAUCGAUGCGUACUUGUACCUUUUAUGUGCUUUACUUUUCGAGCUAAGGAGCUAUAUACAUAUGUAUACCUAUAUCAGAUACUCGAUCGCUGUCGAGACCAAUCAGAACUAAAUCCUAGAUUUUGUAUAAAACAAAUAAUAAUUGAGCAAUUAUUUGAAGAUCGGUUUGCGAGCUCGUACUGGCAAGAGGAGAGUGCGAGGUGUGAGCUCAUAUUGAAAAGGGGAGAGUGAGAGCUCGUACAUAAAAGGGGAGGUGGAAACUUGUACUAAGAAAAGGGGAGUGUGAGCUCGCACUGAAAAAAGGGGAAGUAGCUUAUACUGGGGUUAUUAACCUGUCACAACCACUUACAUUUCCGUCAAAAGGAUUUGACUCACAACUUGAAUUCGACGAAACGUAAUGACAAAUGUAGUGUCGUUAUUGUUAUCAGUUCUUAGUCAAUAUGAAAUCUCUGUAAUGAAUACGUCUAGACGAAUGUACGUAUGCUGUUUUUUUCACGUAAUUUUCACAUAAUAAUCGGUUUGCGGUUGUAGCGAGAAUUCCGAGCUGUGCGAUUCAGUCAACUUAUUUUAUAAAGAUGAAAACAAAGUUGUAGAGAUACAAAUCCACAAACUCUUUCCUUUCAAAUUAUAACAUUUUAAAGGCACAUUAUUCUUAUCGAUAUUCGCUAUCUGAAUCUGAUUAGUUCCGUGAGGUUGUUUAUCAGUUUACUGAUAAACUUUUUAACACACGUUAUUCAUCGGUAGAUAAGACUGAUUAGUUCUUUGUUUAUGGUGCUAAAAGACAUUGAGUAAAAGAAGCAGCAUUUUGAUUACUGCGAUUUUCUGAUUACGUUUAUCUUCCUUUGCGUAUAGUAAUGUAAUUCAAAGACUUCGCGGAAUUGAUAGCAUUGUUAAUUAUAUCAAUAAUAGUUAUACCGUGGAAUUUGUAAAAGUUCAUUUAUUCAUACAUUGAGAUAUUUAUGUGUUUGCGUUUGAAUUAACCACAAAAUGUUGGCAAACGUUAAUUAAUUGUAGGUAAUAUUUUUCAAAACUACCAGCUUAUAAAAUUGUAUUAUACAUUAUUAAUAAAAUUGUUAAAGAAAAUAAAAAGUUAUUCUAGCUACAAAUGAAUUGGUGUCCCUUUCAGUAAUAAUAAAGAUUU
Molecule: long non-coding RNA, 5326 nt
Organism: Hylaeus anthracinus
Lineage: Eukaryota; Metazoa; Arthropoda; Insecta; Hymenoptera; Colletidae
Exons: 4
Source: RefSeq, a predicted model, not a curated record